GUGGAAGUGAAAGCAUAUUUUUGCCUUACCACAGAACCCUCUCCUCCAUUUCUAGAUUGUCUGGUGUGCCGGGGCCAAGACAUUGCCAAAAUUACUUUUAUUCUUAAUCUGCUAACAGCUUCUUACUGCUAUCUGGCAGCCACAUGAAGAACUCUACUGAAACUACUCUCACCAAGAUUACAGAUGGCCUACUUGCUGCAAAAUCAACAGAAUGACCAGAAGAGUCCUCUAGUGACAAUGUUGAAAUAUGAUGAAUCCUGUAACAUGAUAACAGAAGAAUUUAUUUACCAGAAUGCCUCUGAGGAAGACAUCACCUUUUCUAAUGAGGAACAGUGAUUGCCCAUUCCUCAUAUAUGCCCUGCAUUUUCUCACCUCAAGGAUUUUGAUCAAUGUGAACUCUAUAUGUGGAAUGUCCUUUUCAUCUUUGAGCACUAUAAUUCACCUGGCCAUUGGGAACCUUGAAGAAUCUGCCUACAAUCUGCAGCCAAGCUUCUUGGGAAUGAUGGAGUCACUGUUUCAGAGAACUCCCCAGGAGAAGGGCACAUUCACAUCCAAGCCUGUUUAAUCUACAAAGUAAGAGAAUUUGUUGGCAUGAUACAAUCAUAUAAAGAAUUCCAUUCUGGAAGAGUGGUAAUGAGAUGAAAGAGACGUAAAAUUGCUGGCAUGACCCUGAAACUAUCCCUCCUGCACUGCUGCUUCCUGCCCCCAACAUGUCCAACUCAGCUGAACAAUCACUCACGUGUGCAGCCCCUUCCUCACGAGAUGGCCAAGUAACCAAGACACCAUUAGCACGGUGACCAAAAGCAUGCUGAUCUUCCACAUCUCUGCAGAUUCUCAAGAGGUCAAUCACUUCGCACUUGUUCUCAAAGGGAGAACUUAAGGUAAUGGGAAGUCAUCGAGGCUUUGACAGAGAAGCGAUUUGGCUUGGCACAUGCACACAAGCCCAACUGCUCUUUGAGAAAGAAAUACAUUUAUUUGAUACUUGGUUCUUUUUGAUGCUAAUUUCUGCUGUUAGUAUUUGCUUGGUGAAAUGCUUUACUCUCUGAAUUUCUAACAAGUUAACUUGGAGAUUUCAUCUUCUCCCAAUAUGAUUUUGAUUUUUAAUAAUACAUGAAAAAGCAUGAUAUAAAAAUCAAACAUUUUCAUAUCCCAUACCUCAUAUUCCAUGUAAUAUUAAAAUAAAGUCCUCAGAGGAAGUGACAUUUCAGAGAAUUUGGCUGAUCUGAAUAUUAGCAGAGGCCCAAAAAAAGAAGUAAGCCUAACAGGGU
Molecule: long non-coding RNA, 1268 nt
Filed under: Equus caballus (horse)
Lineage: Eukaryota; Metazoa; Chordata; Mammalia; Perissodactyla; Equidae
Description: lncRNA (ENSECAG00000052375.1)
Source: RNAcentral